CUUGGUGAUUAUAGCGUAAGUGAAACACCCGAUCCCAUACCGAACUCGAACGUGAAACCUUACAGCGCUAAUGGUACUAUGUCGUUCAGACAUGGGAGAGUAAGUCGUUGCCAAGC
Molecule: ribosomal RNA, 116 nt
Filed under: Rickettsiaceae bacterium
Lineage: Bacteria; Pseudomonadati; Pseudomonadota; Alphaproteobacteria; Rickettsiales; Rickettsiaceae
Source: RNAcentral